AACGAACGCUGGCGGCGUGGUUUAGGCAUGCAAGUCGAAACGAGAAAACAGGGGGCGAACUACCUCGAAGUAACAGUGGCGAAAGGGUAGGAGUAAUACCUAGACAAUCUACCCUCCGAGCCUGGGACAACAGCUGGAAACGGACUGCUAAUACCGGGUGGUAAGCGUGUGGCUUCGGCCGUGCGCUUUAAAGACGGGGGACCCGUUC
Molecule: ribosomal RNA, 208 nt
Filed under: uncultured bacterium
Lineage: Bacteria
Description: partial 16S ribosomal RNA
Rfam family: Bacterial small subunit ribosomal RNA
Source: RNAcentral